This 404-nucleotide ribosomal RNA is filed under the name uncultured bacterium. RNAcentral describes it as "bacterial SSU rRNA". It matches the Rfam family "Bacterial small subunit ribosomal RNA", at positions 355 to 776 of the family's 1533-position model. The record is from RNAcentral.
UCGGGAAUUUUGCUCAAUGGGCGAAAGCCUGAAGCAGCAACGCCGCGUGAGGGAUGACGGCCUUCGGGUUGUAAACCUCUUUUCUCAGGGACGAUGAUGACGGUACCUGAGGAAUAAGCCACGGCUAACUACGUGCCAGCAGCCGCGGUAAUACGUAGGUGGCGAGCGUUGUCCGGAUUUACUGGGCGUAAAGAGCGCGCAGGCGGUCGUGCAAGUCGGAUGUGAAAGCCCCCGGCUCAACUGGGGAGGGUCAUUCGAUACUGCUCGACUUGAAGGCGGGAGAGGGAAGCGGAAUUCCCGGUGUAGUGGUGAAAUGCGUAGAUAUCGGGAGGAACACCAGUGGCGAAGGCGGCUUCCUGGCCCGUUCUUGACGCUGAGGCGCGAAAGCUAGGGGAGCAAACGGG